This is a long non-coding RNA of Bos taurus (domestic cattle), 1290 nucleotides long. Lineage: Eukaryota; Metazoa; Chordata; Mammalia; Artiodactyla; Bovidae. The record is from Ensembl.
CAGACACAAGAUGUGACAACACUGGAAACAAGAACAUUUCUCUGACCAGACUGCGCUGACUGGUGCAGAGUUCAUCACACACAGAAAAGGAACAGUGGUCUUAUUCAAGUCAGUGAUUGUGUGUAAGCUCCACUGCCUGAAAACCAGACUGCAAAUAAAGUGCAAAGAGAGCAGCAGGGGCCCAGUCGGGAGAUGAGGAAGAGACGGGAGAGCAGAAGCAGCGAACGACUCGAGAUCAAAACGGUAAGAAGAGCAGUGGCAGGAACACGUGCUGAGGACGUGUCCCCGCCCCUCCCACGGCCAACAUCUUUGGGGGCGGACAGCCCCAGCCAGAGCCCCACAAGGAGUGGGGAUUCUCUGCAGGUGACGAGGGGUCUCUGAGCCCGGGGCCCCUGAAUCUCCAACAUACUUUAUCCACUUUGGGAAGCAGCCUCCCAGGGCCCAGGCAGCUCCAACAGAGCCACGAGCCCGGGAAGGACAGGGAGCCCGUCCUGCACUGCACACCAGCUAAACAGCUCUGCACCCUCUGCAGCGCAUAGUCACUCGUGUGUACACAAGCAAUCACACACUUGUGCACAGACACACACCCAUUCACAAAUGCACACUGACACGUGUAUUCACACACACACACUCACAUCCGCACAUUCACACACAAACAUCUGUGCAUUCAUGCAUCUGUACUCAUACCCACACACUCAUCCACACACCCCCUCACACACUCACACACUCAAGCCCUCAUGCAUGUGCAUACAUACUCGCACAUACAUGCCCACACACACCCCACACUCACACAUGCACUCAACAUGUGCGCUCACACACCCAUUCACACACAGGCACGCACAUAUUAAGUAAAGACCCUCCCUAGUGCCCUCCCCAGGUCCUCUCAGGCUGGCCCAGGAAGAGGCUGCGGCUGGGGAUCCAGUCACCCAGAGCGUGAGAUCCGAAACUUGAAAAGGGCACAUUUACACAUCAGCCCCAAGGAGGCCCCUGGUCCUCUGCUCCUCUCCUCCCCUGCAGCACAUGUCACAGUCUCUCAGAACUCCAGGGAUGCAGUCCAAAGGCUGGCAGUCUCCUGGAAGUGGUCCUGGAGGGACACAGUUGGGGUGGAGGAGGGGCCACCAGGACCAGGGGUUUCCAGGCAACUUGGCACAAGGGAGGAAGCCAUCAGUGCCCUUCCAUCUGUGGGAAUCUGCGGGGGGCACGUGGUAGCCCAGGUGCAGCCUCAGGCCUCGGGGUGAGGCAGGCAGAACUCUUCGGCCAGGACCUGGGUGGCUGAGAAGGGCACAUGGU